Molecule: long non-coding RNA, 919 nt
Organism: Eptesicus fuscus (big brown bat)
Lineage: Eukaryota; Metazoa; Chordata; Mammalia; Chiroptera; Vespertilionidae
Exons: 3
Source: RefSeq, a predicted model, not a curated record
CCCCCUUUUCGCGUUUCUCCUUCCCGCGUUUCUCCUUCCCUCGGCCCGCUCUCACCGCACUCUGCUCGGAGGGCUCCGAGGUGGUGCGGCCGCCACCCCGCCCGCCGCCGAGCCGACGGCAGCCCAGGGUGGGGCGGGGGCGCGGCUGGCCUUCGGGGACCGCGGGGCCAGCAGGUCCACCCGGCCCCUCCGCCUGCUCACAUCCCACCGCGCACUUCCCUCCAGCCCGGGCCACUGGCCGGCCUUCAGGUUGUAACUAGACGUGGAAGAAGCGGGACUAGCUUUGGAGAACGUGAUCGGGCCGUUGUCAUAGCAACUUUUGACUCCAGAGAAGAAGGCAUUCUCAGAUCACAGCCCUGACUCCAGAAGAGCUAAAAAGACACCAAGACUAAAAGGAGAGAAUGAUUUGCAAGAUAUGAUGAAACUGGACUGAUUCCUGAAUCCCCCAAGACCCUGAGUUUGAGACAAGGUGAAGGACUGUGACAGAUGGAGCUGGCAGUGCCCCUAAGCAACUAUGAGCUUCCUUAUCCUCGAAAACUUGUUUGGCUUUGGGGGAGGGGACAAAAAUAGAGACCACUACAACACAGUUUUUACUCCCUCCCAAGUGACGGUUAACUUCCUUGAGAGAAGAAAACAUAUUCUUGAAAAAGUUAGUUCAUACAUCAGUACCCACAGAAUGAAGGCCACCCUAGUGGCCAGGUCCACAUCACAAACCUAAACCUGAGUCAGCCUGCACUUAUAGGAAACAGUACUCCAGAAACAUACACACCAAUCACAAUCCUCCAACUCAGAAAACAGGGCCUCCUGGCCAACACUCCAUUAACUCACUCUUGCAGACAAUCCCUCAGGAACAGUGCUUCACUGCUUGGGAGGCAUUAAACUCCCCCAGUCCUAUGAUUAUUUUCCCUGUGGUCGGAAA